This is a non-coding RNA of Aspergillus clavatus NRRL 1, 572 nucleotides long. Lineage: Eukaryota; Fungi; Ascomycota; Eurotiomycetes; Eurotiales; Aspergillaceae. The record is from Rfam.
CCAUUUUGAGAAAAGUGGAAAUAAAAGGAAAAACCUUUUAUGAUAACAUAAAUUGAACAGGCUAAUUUGCGCAAGAGAGUACAAAUUGAGUGCGCGGUUUGGCACCUCGAUGUCGGCUUAGCUCAUCCACAUGAAUGCAAAAAUCAUGAAGGGUUCGACUGUUCGUCGAUUAAAGAGCUACAUGAGCUGGGUUUAAUACGUCGUGAGACAGUAUGGUUUCUAUCUUCUAGAGGGAAUUAAAGUAGAAUAAAGAUAGCCCCUUCGUACGAAAGGAGUUGGGUAUAUUGACCUAUGGUUUACCUGUUGUUUAUGCUAUAUAUUAUAUAUUAUAUAAUAUAUCAUUUACUUAUACUUAAGUAAAUUGUUCACAUAGGCAUGGCAGGAAGGCUACGUCAGUUAAAGAUAAGUGCUGAAAGCAUUUAAGCGCGAAGCUUACUUUAGGAUACUUUUAAACGUAGUAGAACACUACGAGUAUAAUUGUUAUAGCCCCCUUCCUGUAGUGGGUAUAAUGAUUAAUAGGCUUUAGUUGUACUAAUCUUAAAAUUUUUAGACAUAAAGUACUAAUUAUUAAA